Non-coding RNA from Picea glauca (white spruce), 123 nucleotides. NCBI's taxonomy places the organism in Eukaryota, Viridiplantae, Streptophyta, Pinopsida, Pinales, Pinaceae. The record is from Rfam.
AUGUACAUUUCUACAACAUAGCAUUAAUACACCAUAUCCCAUUAGAACUCUGUAGUUAAGUGCACUCAGGCUAGAGUAGUACUGGGAUGGGUGUCCACCUGGGAAGUCCUAGUGUUUUACAUG